Long non-coding RNA from Phasianus colchicus (ring-necked pheasant), 1063 nucleotides. RefSeq lists it as uncharacterized. The record is from RefSeq and is a predicted model, not a curated record. Lineage: Eukaryota; Metazoa; Chordata; Aves; Galliformes; Phasianidae.
UCCUACCAGGUGCUCAAUCACUGCUUCAGGACAUGACUCAGUAUUUCUGCUACAGAUGCAAACACUGAAUACGUAAAAUAAUAAUAAUUUAUCUAAAAUAAGGCUUUAUAGGCUGUGUUACAAGAUUUGAAGAGUGGAGAGCAAAUUUCCUCUGACACCUAAUGACCCACCAGUUGAAAGAAGUGAAGGCAGCAUCACCUAUACGUGUGGGAGAUGUCCUAAACUGGCAUUUAUAUGCACGGCAAGCCUCUCCCAUGUUGCAGAAGAUAUGCUCCCAAGAGAACAGUCGUGGGCAGGUGUCAGUGUGACUUCCUUUGCAGAAAAAAAAAAAAUCUGUAAAACAAGCAGAAACCAACACCAGAGGCACCAGUGACCAUAUUCAUACUUCUGUAACUGAGACAAAAUUCUCAGCUAGUACUACUUUCGACAGUCAAAAAUAAUUUCAUUUCAGAGUACUUUGAGCAUUUAUUUUCUUGAAAAUGGACACCAAUUUACGUUAUUCAUUUGAUCUUGAUUUUUCAAAGCAGUUGACUAAGAUGUACAAUAAUGAUUGCAUAGGAAAGAAUAAAUUUGUAAUUGAGUCUAAAUACAAAUGAUUGCUUCUUGUUGAGUAGUGGUAGAAAGGUGCCUCGAAGUAAGCAACCUCUCCUUAAAAAUCUAGGUGCAUGUCAUUAUUCAUUUAAUAAGCACUUUCUACAUUCUUUAUCAAGGAAUCUGAUUCAAUAGAAAAGACUCACUGCUUUGAAAUCUGGAAAGUACAGAUGUGUUGUCAGCCUGACCUUGAUAUCCUGAAACCUAGUUAGCUCCCUUUCUUGUUGCAUGCUUACCCUGAAAUUUCAGGCUGGUAACUUGCAAUGCACUUCAUUAUGAGGGCAGUUUACAGCAAACUGAAUUACAUUUUGCAAACAGAAUAGCCCAUGCUCACUAGUCUAAACAGAACCUCUGCAAGGACAAUCUUCAUUUACCCCAUGGAGGCCUUCCUGCAUGAGUGUUGUGGCAAUAACUAUUUCAAGACCAAAAUAAUUACCAUGGGCUAUGCAUGUAUCAUAGAAUAGCCUGGGUU